Macaca mulatta (Rhesus monkey) is the source of this 2189-nucleotide RNA transcript. It is a transcript of the gene named splicing factor 3A subunit 3 pseudogene, with no coding region annotated. NCBI's taxonomy places the organism in Eukaryota, Metazoa, Chordata, Mammalia, Primates, Cercopithecidae. The record is from RefSeq and is a predicted model, not a curated record.
AUGGUGAAGGGAAGAUGGGAGACAAUACUGGAGCAGCAGCGGCGCUAUCGUGAGGAGAAGGAAUGGCUCAUGGACAUCAUGGCCAAAGAGAUGCUCACUAAGAAGUUCAUGCUCUGGGACCAGAUCAAUUCUGAUCACUGCACUCAGGCCAUGCAAGAUAGGUAUACGGAGGUCAGUGGGAACCUGAGGGAUUUGUAUGAUAAGGAUGGAUUACGAAAGGAGGAGCUCAAUGACAUUUCAGGACCCAGUGAGUUUGCUGAUUUCUAUAACAGACUCAAGCAAAUAAAGGAAUUCCACCAGAAGCACCCGAAUGAGAUCUAUGUGCCAAUGUCAGUGGAAUCUGAGGAGCUCCUGAAGGCUUGAGAGAAUCCAAGUGAAGAGGCACAAAACUAGGUGGAGUUCACAGAUGAAGAGGGAUAUGGUCAUUACCUCGAUCUCCAUGACUGUUACCUCAAGUACAUUAACCUGAAGGCAUCUGAGAAGCUGGAUUAUAUCACACACCUAUCCAUCUUAGACCAAUUAUUUGACAUUCCUAAAGACAGGAAGAAUGCAGAGCGUUAAGAGAUACCUAGAGAUGCUGCUUGAGUACCUUCAGGAUUACACAGAGUGAAGCCUCUCCAAGAUCAGAGUGAACUUUCUGGGAAGAUUCAGGCUGAAUUUGAGAAGAAAUGGGAGAAUGGGAUCUUUCCUGGAUGGCCGAAAGAGACAAGCAGUGCCCGGACGCACGCUGGAGCCCAUCUUGACCUCUCUGCACUCUCCUCCUGGGAGGACUUGCCCUCUCUGGCUGUGGACAGAUUGAAAUCUGCUCUCUCUAAGAUUUAGGACUGAAAUGUGGCAGGACCCCAGAAGAGUGAGCCCAGAGACUAUUCAGCACCAAAGGAAAGUCCCUGGAGUCACUUGAAAACUCUUUGUUUGCCAAAAAUCCCAAGUCAAAGGGCACCAAGUGAGACACUGAGAGAAACAAAGACAUUGCUUUUCUAGAAGCCCAGAUCUACAAAGAUCUAUGAAUACGUAGAGAUUCUCGGGGAACAGCGACAUCCCACUCAUGAAAAUGUACAAUGCAAGCAAGAAAGGACAGGAGAAGAGCGAGAAGAGGAGGAAGAAGAGCAAAUCAGCGAGAGUGAGAGUGAAGAUGAAGAGAACGAGAUCAUUUACAAACCCAAAAAACCUGCCACUUGGCUGGGAUGGCAAACCCAUUCCCUACUGGCCAUAUAAGCUUCAUGGCCUAAGUAUCAACUACGACUGUGAGAACUGUGGAAACUACACCUGCCGAGGACCCAAAGCUUCCAGCGGCCCUUUGCUGAAUGGCGUCAGGCUCAUGGUAUGAGGUGUUUGGGCAUCCCGAACACUGCUCACUUUGCUAAGGUGACACAGAUUGAAGAGGCUGCCUCCCUGUGGGCCAAACGGAAACUGCAGAAGGCGUCAGAACGAUGGCAGCCUGACGCUGAGGAAGAAUAUGAAGACUCAAGUGGGAAUGUUGGGAAUAAAAAGACAUAUGAGGACCUGAAAAGACAAGGACUCCUCUAGUGUUCAGGGAUGUAGCUCAGCUUUAGGACUAGCCCAGGCUUCCCUGAGAUCUGCUUGUUCUAUUUCUCCCAACCAAAUCCUCUUAAAGACCUUUUGCUAUGUAGUUUCAUGGUCUAGCAUGCAUCUUAUAGAAACAAAGCAUGCUGGCAGAUUGCAGGUUUGAGAUGUGUUUUAUCUGUUUUAUAUUUAAAAAGAUUCUGCCAGAAAAUAAAACCAGACCUUGUUCUGAAGCCCAGGGUUAUGGACCAACUCAGUGCUUCAGGUCUUAAUGCCUCCAUACCUCUUUCUGAUCAACUUUAGAAGUAGCUGAGAUGUAAUGGGCACCUGUUAUGCUACACAUCAUGUUAUGUAAAUCUGACCUGAGCUCUUUCCCCACCCUCCUUCAUUGCUACUUCCCUGAAUGAGUAUUACCCCAGGAUGAGGUCUGCCAUCAGCUUAGUUAGCCAUUGAUGCAAACACUAGGGAAAGACUAGGAGGAUGAGCCAGGACUGCUACGAAGGACUAAAUGUGGCACCAAGGUUUGCCUUCUGUAUUUGCAUAAAGAAAGGAGUUGGAGCUGGGUGCAGUGGCUUGUGCCUGUAGUCCCAGCUACUUGGGAGGCUGAGGCAGGAGGGUUGCUUGAGACCAGCCUAGGUAACAUAGUGACAGCCUGUCUCGUUAAA